This 25-nucleotide non-coding RNA is filed under the name Rattus norvegicus (Norway rat). Lineage: Eukaryota; Metazoa; Chordata; Mammalia; Rodentia; Muridae. The record is from RNAcentral.
UGGUUCAUGUCUUCACUGCAGUGCU